AGUGAACGCUGGCGGUAGGCCUAACACAUGCAAGUCGAACGGCAGCACAGUAAGAGCUUGCUCUUACGGGUGGCGAGUGGCGGACGGGUGAGGAAUACAUCGGAAUCUACUUUUUCGUGGGGGAUAACGUAGGGAAACUUACGCUAAUACCGCAUACGACCUACGGGUGAAAGCAGGGGAUCUUCGGACCUUGCGCGAUUGAAUGAGCCGAUGUCGGAUUAGCUAGUUGGCGGGGUAAAGGCCCACCAAGGCGACGAUCCGUAGCUGGUCUGAGAGGAUGAUCAGCCACACUGGAACUGAGACACGGUCCAGACUCCUACGGGAGGCAGCAGUGGGGAAUAUUGGACAAUGGGCGCAAGCCUGAUCCAGCCAUACCGCGUGGGUGAAGAAGGCCUUCGGGCUGUAAAGCCCUUUUGUUGGGUAAGAAAAGCAGCAGGUUAAUACCCCGCUGUUCUGACGGUACCCAAAGAAUAAGCACCGGCUAACUUCGUG
Molecule: ribosomal RNA, 492 nt
Filed under: uncultured bacterium
Lineage: Bacteria
Description: partial 16S ribosomal RNA
Rfam family: Bacterial small subunit ribosomal RNA
Source: RNAcentral